UUUUACUAGAGUAUAGCCCAGAGAAAUUUGGAUUAAUCCUGUAUAAUAUCUUUUAAUUUCAUGAUUUUAAGAUUAAAGUUUUAACGGUAAAAGAUGAGCAUGCGUCCUAUUAGUUUGUAGGUGAGGGAACGGCUCACCUAGACUACGAUAGGUAGGGGCCCUGAGAGGGGGAUCCCCCACACUGGUACUGAGACACGGACCAGACUCCUACGGGAGGCAGCAGUAAGGAAUAUUGGACAAUGGACGAAAGUCU
This 253-nucleotide ribosomal RNA is filed under the name uncultured Flavobacteriaceae bacterium. RNAcentral describes it as "partial 16S ribosomal RNA". It matches the Rfam family "Bacterial small subunit ribosomal RNA", at positions 131 to 384 of the family's 1533-position model. The record is from RNAcentral. Lineage: Bacteria; Pseudomonadati; Bacteroidota; Flavobacteriia; Flavobacteriales; Flavobacteriaceae.